Arachis stenosperma is the source of this 220-nucleotide long non-coding RNA. RefSeq lists it as uncharacterized. The transcript has 4 exons. NCBI's taxonomy places the organism in Eukaryota, Viridiplantae, Streptophyta, Magnoliopsida, Fabales, Fabaceae. The record is from RefSeq and is a predicted model, not a curated record.
CUGAAGAAGAUCAAUACUUUGACGGUGAGAGAUAUGAAAUAUCAAGUGACGAAAUCGAUGAAUGGCUAAGGGGAAACGUUGAUAAAUCUGCUGCGGAGGGGGAGAACCUAGCUGACCUGCGAUCGACAGAAGGUCGCUAUGUGUCCUCUGAAACGUUGAGUCCGACUGACUCGAAUAUGAUGGUUGUGAGGGAACAAACACCGUCGGAAGCGCUUGCAAU